This 480-nucleotide ribosomal RNA is filed under the name Pituophis catenifer (gopher snake). RNAcentral describes it as "partial 16S ribosomal RNA". It matches the Rfam family "Bacterial large subunit ribosomal RNA", at positions 1809 to 2607 of the family's 2925-position model. The record is from RNAcentral. Lineage: Eukaryota; Metazoa; Chordata; Lepidosauria; Squamata; Colubridae.
AAAAACAUAACCUUUAGCCAAACAAAUAUUAAAGGCAACGCCUGCCCAGUGAGUAAUUAAACGGCCGCGGUAUCCUAACCGUGCAAAGGUAGCAUAAUCAUUUGUCUACUAAUUAUAGACCUGUAUGAAAGGCAAAAUGAGGGUCUAACUGUCUCUUAUAAUAAAUCAAUUAAACUGAUCUCCUAGUAAAAAAGCUAGAAUAACAGCAUAAGACCAGAAGACCCUGUGAAGCUUAAAUUAAACUAUUAAACCUUAUAAUAACUACUUUCGGUUGGGGCGACCUUGGAAAAAAAGAGAACUUCCAAGACCCAGCAUGGCUGACAAUUGAACCAAGUUACUCCAGGGAUAACAGCGCAAUCCUCUUCAAGAGCCCAUAUCAAAAAGAGGGUUUACGACCUCGAUGUUGGAUCAGGACAUCCUAAUGGUGCAGCCGCUAUUAAGGGUUCGUUUGUUCAACGAUUAAUAGUCCUACGUGAUCUG